AAAGGCCUGCAGCUUGCUGCGGGUACUCGAGUGGCGAACGGGUGAGUAACACGUGGGUGAUCUGCCUUGCACUUCGGGAUAAGCUUGGGAAACUGGGUCUAAUACCGGAUAGGACAGCUGUUUAGUGUCAGUUGUGGAAAGUUUUUUCGGUGCAAGAUGAGCUCGCGGCCUAUCAGCUUGUUGGUGGGGUAAUGGCCUACCAAGGCGUCGACGGGUAGCCGGCCUGAGAGGGUGUACGGCCACAUUGGGACUGAGAUACGGCCCAGACUCCUACGGGAGGCAGCAGUGGGGAAUAUUGCACAAUGGGCGGAAGCCUGAUGCAGCGACGCCGCGUGGGGGAUGAAGGCCUUCGGGUUGUAAACUCCUUUCGACAGGGACGAAGCGUAAGUGACGGUACCUGUAUAAGAAGCACCGGCUAACUACGUGCCAGCAGCCGCGGUAAUACGUAGGGUGCGAGCGUUGUCCGGAAUUACUGGGCGUAAAGAGCUCGUAGGUGGUUUGUCGCGUCGUCUGUGAAAUUCCGGGGCUUAACUCCGGGCGUGCAGGCGAUACGGGCUGACUUGAGUGCUGUAGGGGAGACUGGAAUUCCUGGUGUAGCGGUGAAAUGCGCAGAUAUCAGGAGGAACACCGAUGGCGAAGGCAGGUCUCUGGGCAGUAACUGACGCUGAGGAGCGAAAGCAUGGGUAGCGAACAGGAUUAGAUACCCUGGUAGUCCAUGCCGUAAACGGUGGGCGCUAGGUGUAGGGGGCUUCCACGUCUUCUGUGCCGUAGCUAACGCAUUAAGCGCCCCGCCUGGGGAGUACGCCGC
This 808-nucleotide ribosomal RNA is filed under the name uncultured Actinomycetes bacterium. RNAcentral's name for it is "bacterial SSU rRNA". It matches the Rfam family "Bacterial small subunit ribosomal RNA", at positions 70 to 889 of the family's 1533-position model. The record is from RNAcentral. Lineage: Bacteria; Bacillati; Actinomycetota; Actinomycetes.